GGCUUAAUUUGACUCGACACGGGCGAACUUUACGCGGCCCAGACACAGGAAGGAUUGAGAGAUUCAAGAGCUCUUUCUUGAUUCUGUGGGUGGUGAUGCAUGGCCGAUUUUAGUUAGUGAAACGGUUUGUCUGUCCGAUAGCGAAAGACUCUAGCUUACUAAAUAGACGCUCCGAUCCUUCGAGUCGGACGUUCUUAGAGCGACGUUUAGCUGCAUGAGACAGAGCGAUAAACAGGUCUGUGAUGCCCUUAAGAUGUCCGGGGCCGCAC
This 269-nucleotide non-coding RNA is filed under the name Stegodyphus mimosarum. RNAcentral describes it as "eukaryotic small subunit ribosomal RNA". It matches the Rfam family "Eukaryotic small subunit ribosomal RNA", at positions 1187 to 1492 of the family's 1831-position model. The record is from Rfam by way of RNAcentral. Lineage: Eukaryota; Metazoa; Arthropoda; Arachnida; Araneae; Eresidae.